GUGCGGGCUAGCCUGGAGGGUUAGGCGUCCUCUGCAACUCGAAACCGCCGAGACGCGAGGGGCGAAGCUCGAGGAAGGGACCGUAGCUGGCAGUUUCAGCUCGGAGUCCAACGAAGAAGCACCGUCCUGCGGGGUCGUCGGUGGCGCGGAGGCACGCUGGAGGGUUUGUCACCGCACCUUUGUCGCGGACACCGGUUUAGGCCCGGAAGGGAGCGGACUCACUGCGGACGCUCGGCGCUCGCAGGGUAGCGGUGCAGAGGACGGCUUUGAGGGUCUGGCUGGCAGCGAAAGCCUCGACCGAGAGCGUGCCCGCAC
RNAcentral lists this signal recognition particle RNA (315 nucleotides) under Candidatus Methanophagales archaeon. RNAcentral describes it as "ANME-1 cluster archaeon signal recognition particle sRNA". It matches the Rfam family "Archaeal signal recognition particle RNA". The record is from RNAcentral. Lineage: Archaea; Methanobacteriati; Methanobacteriota; Methanomicrobia; Candidatus Methanophagales. RNAcentral also lists the same sequence under 1 other name.